AGUUGUAAAGCAAACAGUGUAGGUAUUGGAAGCCGUUCACACCUCCUUUCCGAGUAUCUGCCUGCCUUGCUGGCCCAGAGCACAAGACCCCCAUUGUGCUCCCCCGGCUCAGAAUCCAAGGAAAGAAAGGAAGCGAAGCCUCUGCAUUGAGUUCUAGGACAGCUGAGACACUUGGAUUGGACUUAAUCUUAAACCUCUGGAGUUCAAGACCUUUUAAAAAGGGCUAAAUAAACAAUCUCUACAUGUAAAAGGCCACUGACUCCUGCUUCCUCUGUAUAGAGCAACUGUUGAACUCAGCUGCCUGUAAGGCGUGAUUCUCAGUCACCAGACUCAGCUUGGAGAUCUUACAAUGAUGGCAGUCAAGAGGCACUGAACGAAGAUGCUCCAUAUUCCUCUCUGGCAGCAAAAGGUUUUAGAAGCGUCCGACCAAACCUACAAGAGAAGAGAUCAGCAACUCAGGCACCCCCUCCACCAGAAAGAAAAGAGAGCUUUCAUAGCUCUUUGAUAACCAGGCACACAAAGGGUGUCAUUUUAGACCAG
This 540-nucleotide small RNA is filed under the name Pongo abelii (Sumatran orangutan). Its description in RNAcentral is "processed transcript". The record is from RNAcentral. Lineage: Eukaryota; Metazoa; Chordata; Mammalia; Primates; Hominidae.